AGCGUGGUGAACGCUGCGCAAUGUGUUGAGCGGUUAAAUAAGAAAAGUGACACCUACAACAAGUAGGAAAAAUCCCAGCUAGUGUUCUGCGCCAGCCGUUCGAGUGUUGCCAAGCGCCAGUGUGGCCAGCUCUGUUCCUGCUGCUGCUGCUGCUGCUGCCGCUGCCGCGUGGCAUUUUGAGUACAACAUAUGGCAGAACAGCAUCGAUGCCAAAAUGCAGCGCGCUUAUCAUGAGACCAUUGCGCACCAGCAACUGUGGUGGGCCGAUUAUCAUGGCAAGCAAUGUACAACAACAGCAACAACAGCGGCAG
Molecule: small RNA, 311 nt
Filed under: Drosophila virilis
Lineage: Eukaryota; Metazoa; Arthropoda; Insecta; Diptera; Drosophilidae
Description: GJ25663
Source: RNAcentral